Long non-coding RNA from Felis catus (domestic cat), 860 nucleotides. RefSeq lists it as uncharacterized. The record is from RefSeq and is a predicted model, not a curated record. Lineage: Eukaryota; Metazoa; Chordata; Mammalia; Carnivora; Felidae. The transcript is spliced from 2 exons.
UCUUGCAGUUUCCCCUCUAGUGGGUGGACACAGAUGAUAAAGAAGAAACAUGGAUGAAUAGGAAAGAGUGCAGACGGUGGUCUGGUGGACCAGCGGGGGAUAAGGAGGAGGGUGAGCGGGGCACUCACAUCUGGGAGGACAGCGCUGAGGAGGUGCCUUUACAGUUGAGACCUACUCACACGAAGAAGCCUGAAGAUCUGGCAGGAGAGAAGACCCAUCAGAGGGAGCCGCAGUUUCCACAACUCCGAAGUGAGGCAGUAGGGCUAGACAGGUGCAAGAGCAGGGGGCAACUGAAAUGACUUCAAAACACCUGGCAUCCACUGCGUGUUGCCAUGUACACACGUGUGCUCACGCACAUACGGACACAUUGCUCCCGUUGGUCAAGAUCUUCCUCUCGUUAAGUACCACGGACCGUUACUUACAUAGCCGCAUUCAUCACCCUCGGUUCCAAGGCACAGCUCAUGGAACCCAAGAAGAAAUCGUCGUCCAAUUCUUUAUUUUAUGGAUGGGGACCGGAGUCCCGAAUGGAGGAGGAGGUGGAGACACUUUAACCAAGAACCCGGGCUCCUAGCCCCCCAAAUGCAGUGCUCUUUCUAGUGGCCCGAGACCUGCAGGAAGGAAAACUGAGACUUUUAAGACACAUGCAUUACUUUCCAUUCUCAAGCACGAGUUCUCAAAAGGAAGGUGUUAGAGAUCUUGACAAUUUCCAGCUUAUUGCUUUGGCUGGGGCCUGAAAUCUUGGCACACGCAUUGUUGAAAUUCUACAGAAAUCUUUUAACUUCUCUGAGAAGUUAUCAUGAUGGUAACAAUAACAGUCGUCCGCUAAAUAAACAUUUACGGGUGUCCGCUUUGUACCAGCA